Molecule: ribosomal RNA, 433 nt
Filed under: uncultured bacterium
Lineage: Bacteria
Description: partial 16S ribosomal RNA
Rfam family: Bacterial small subunit ribosomal RNA
Source: RNAcentral
AACGAACGCUGGCGGCAUGCCUAACACAUGCAAGUCGAACGAGACCUUCGGGUCUAGUGGCGCACGGGUGCGUAACGCGUGGGAACCUGCCCUUAGGUUCGGAAUAACUCCCCGAAAGGGGUGCUAAUACCGGAUAAUGUCUUCGGACCAAAGAUUUAUCGCCUUUGGAUGGGCCCGCGUUUGAUUAGCUAGUUGGUAGGGUAAAAGCCUACCAAGGCGACGAUCCAUAGCUGGUCUGAGAGGAUGAUCAGCCACACUGGGACUGAGACACGGCCCAGACUCCUCCGGGAGGGAGCAGUGGGGAAUGUUGGAAAAUGGGCGAAAGCCUGAUCCAACAAUGCCGCGUGAGUGAUGAAGGCCUUAGGGUUGUAAAGCUCUUUUAACCGGGAUGAUAAUGACGGUACCGGGAGAAUAAGCUCCGGCUAACUCCGUG